RNAcentral lists this transfer RNA (72 nucleotides) under Ictidomys tridecemlineatus (thirteen-lined ground squirrel). RNAcentral's name for it is "Spermophilus tridecemlineatus (thirteen-lined ground squirrel) tRNA". It matches the Rfam family "tRNA". Rfam says of the family: Transfer RNA (tRNA) molecules are approximately 80 nucleotides in length. Their secondary structure includes four short double-helical elements and three loops (D, anti-codon, and T loops). Lineage: Eukaryota; Metazoa; Chordata; Mammalia; Rodentia; Sciuridae. The record is from Rfam by way of RNAcentral.
UGGGAUGUAGCUCAGCAGCAGAGCACAUGCCUAGCAUGUGCAAGGUCCUGGGUUCAAUUCCCAGUACAACAA